UCUGAUGAGUAGCCACUGGUCCCAUGA
RNAcentral lists this small RNA (27 nucleotides) under Bombyx mori (domestic silkworm). RNAcentral's name for it is "piRNA piR-bmo-1558935". Lineage: Eukaryota; Metazoa; Arthropoda; Insecta; Lepidoptera; Bombycidae. The record is from RNAcentral.